RNAcentral lists this ribosomal RNA (486 nucleotides) under uncultured bacterium. Its description in RNAcentral is "partial 16S ribosomal RNA". It matches the Rfam family "Bacterial small subunit ribosomal RNA", at positions 30 to 507 of the family's 1533-position model. The record is from RNAcentral.
AUUGAACGCUGGCGACAUGCCUUACACAUGCAAGUCGAACGGCAGCACGGGUGCUUGCACCUGGUGGCGAGUGACGAACGGGUGAGUAAUACAUCGGAACAUGUCCUGUAGUGGGGGAUAGCCCGGCGAAAGCCGGAUUAAUACCGCAUACGAUCUACGGAUGAAAGCGGGGGACCUUCGGGCCUCGCGCUAUAGGGUUGGCCGAUGGCUGAUUAGCUAGUUGGUGGGGUAAAGGCCUACCAAGGCGACGAUCAGUAGCUGGUCUGAGAGGACGACCAGUCACACUGGGACUGAGACACGGCCCAGACUCCUACGGGAGGCAGCAGUGGGGAAUUUUGGACAAAGGGCGAAAGCCUGAUCCAGCAAUGCCGCGUGUGUGAAGAAGGCCUUCGGGUUGUAAAGCACUUUUGUCCGGAAAGAAAUCCUUGGCCCUAAUACGGUCGGGGGAUGACGGUACCGGAAGAAUAAGCACCGGCUAACUACGUG